This 339-nucleotide ribosomal RNA is filed under the name Paenarthrobacter sp. Its description in RNAcentral is "bacterial SSU rRNA". It matches the Rfam family "Bacterial small subunit ribosomal RNA", at positions 831 to 1167 of the family's 1533-position model. The record is from RNAcentral. Lineage: Bacteria; Bacillati; Actinomycetota; Actinomycetes; Micrococcales; Micrococcaceae.
UUCCACGUUUUUCCGCGCCGUAGCUUAACGCAUUUAAGUGCCCCGCCAGGGGAGUACGGCCGCAAGGCUAAAACUCAAAGGAAUUGACGGGGGCCCGCACAAGCGGCGGAGCAUGCGGAUUAAUUCGAUGCAACGCGAAGAACCUUACCAAGGCUUGACAUGAACCGGAAAGACCUGGAAACAGGUGCCCCGCUUGCGGUCGGUUUACAGGUGGUGCAUGGUUGUCGUCAGCUCGUGUCGUGAGAUGUUGGGUUAAGUCCCGCAACGAGCGCAACCCUCGUUCUAUGUUGCCAGCGGUUCGGCCGGGGACUCAUAGGAGACUGCCGGGGUCAACUCGGA